This 10033-nucleotide long non-coding RNA is filed under the name Coffea arabica (coffee). RNAcentral describes it as "long non-coding RNA (CARA_LNC006484)". Lineage: Eukaryota; Viridiplantae; Streptophyta; Magnoliopsida; Gentianales; Rubiaceae. The record is from RNAcentral.
CAAGAAGAACCACCCCAAAGCUGUAAACGUCACUUUUGUCAGUAAUUUGGCUCGACAGGAAAUAUUCUGGAUCGAUGUAGCCGAAAGUCCCUUGGACUCGAGUAGUCAUGUGGGUUUUGUCAAUUGGAAUGGACAAUGAAGCUCCAAAGUCUGAUACUUUAGCUAUGUAUUUUUCAUCCAACAAUAUGUUGGUGGACUUGAUAUCCCUGUGAAAGACCGGAAUUGAAAGCCCCGAGUGUAGGUAUGCCAAUGCUCCUGCUACCUCUGUGGCUACUUUUAAUCUCAAGCUCCAAGUAAAAGGGAAGGAUUCAGCCUCAUUGUCGUUUUGAAUGAGGUUAAAUAGGGUUCCAUUAGGGAUAAAUUCAUAGACAAGCAGAGGAACUUCUGUCUCCAAGCAACAACCCAGAAGUUUUACCACAUUCCUGUGAUUAACUUGCGAAACAAUGACGAGCUCGUUGAUGAACUGCCCCAACAGGCUUUUGUCAACCUUCGACUUCUUGAUUGCCACAAUUCUUCCAUCGGCUAGGAUCCCUUUAUAUACUGUACCUUGGCCACCUUGACCAAGUAUUCGACUUUCGUUGAAUCCAUCAGUGGCCGCCUCCAAUUCCCUAGAAAUGAAAAUUCUAGUUUUUUCAAUAGCACCAUCUGCAGCAGAUAAUUGUUUCUCCAAUAGAAGACCUCCAUUUCGUUCAAAAUGGCCCUGCUUCUUCUUUUUAUUGCGUCUCUUCUGUAGCAGGACAAGACCAGUAAACACUGCAAUUGUCACCCCAGCAGCCACAGCAACACUUGUAAUCGAUACCAAAAAAUAUAAUGGAACUGUGACUACUACGAGGAUGAGAAAUAGCAGAAAGAAUAACUUGGGAGGUCUCAUUAUUGGGAAGUAGAGCAAAGUUUGUCUUUCAAUAGCAUAGGGAUAUUAUCGAACUGAUCGAAGAGCAUCUGCCUAAAUAGGUGAACCAAAAUGUUGUAAUUAAUCAAAUAUCGUAGGGGAAAUAGUCAAAUUACCUUGGAGAAGUCUACAUCAGUUGAGAUCAGAUGUGGGCUAUUUUUUCCACUAGCAACUUCCUCGAUGUUUCACUGCAAUUGUUGGAUGUACUCCUGGAAGCUCCACUGCAAUUGCUGUAUGUUAUCGACGACUUUAUGAACCAGUAUGGAACAAUCCACUUGUGUUCAAAACUUGUUUGGCCGGCCUCUUAGUCUUCUUGUCAUCUUAACUCUUUUAACCAUCUCUUUUCCUACACUAAUUAACCAUCGAUGACUUGGCUUUUGUGUUGUUAUUAGCUUUAAUAAAAACAACUCCAAAACUCAAGAGAUCACUUUUCUCAGUACAUUGGCUUGUUGAAAGAAUUCUGGAUCCAGAUACACAAAAAUCCCUCUAACUCGUGUAGGUAAAUAAGUUUAAUCAACUUCGAUAGAUCUCGAAGUUCCCAAGUCAGAUGCUUUGGCUAUACAUAUUUAUCCAAAAAGUAUCUUGCUUGAUUUCACAUCUCUGUGCAAGAUGGGAACUGAAAUUUCAGAAUGUAGAUAUGCCUGUGACCCUGCUAUCUCUAUGGCUAUUCUUAUUCUCGAGUUAUAAGUGAAGGGGAAAUCAUCAUCACUCUGAUUAUGCAUGAGAUUAUAAAGGCUUCGGUUGGGGAUGAAUUCAUUAACCAGUAGGGGAACUUCUAUAAACAAACGACAAACCUAGGAGUUUUACCACAUUCCUAUGACUGACUUGUGACAGAAUUACCACCUCAUUGACGAAAUCCUCAAAGUGACUGUCAGUAACAUUUCAACCUUUUUGAUUGCGAAUCUUUCCAUCAGUUAACAUCCCUUUAUACACUGUACCUUGACCACCCUGCCUAAGUAUUCGACUUCCAUUGAAUGCAUCAAUAGCCUUGCUCAAUUUCUUAGCACUAACGAGAUGUGUUCUUUCAAUAGCAUCCGCAGAAAAAUGUUGCUGUUACAUUCUUUCAAUAGCACUAACGUGUGCAAUACGUUCUCUAGAAAUACCAUCAAUUGAAUGGAAGAACAUUAGCCCCGCGUGAAUGGUACAGCGGCAGUACCUCCCCUGGUGUACCUCUAGGUCCUAGGUUCGAGUCCCUGCGCUGCUGGAUUCCUCCGCGCACUUACCGUGCUUGGAUCGGGUUGGGGCGCCAAGGCCCGGGCCACAGGGAAUUAGUCGGGCCCCAUAAGAGUUGACCCCCAUGUGGUUUAAUUUUUUUUUUUUACACAACCCCUCUAUGGUUUCAAAAACUAUACAUAACCCCCUCAUAGUUUGGAUUAAAGUGUCAAAGUGAAGGAAAUAGUUAUUCGUAAUGGAACUUUUAAAAAUGUUGAAAUUACCCUUAUAAAUACAUGAUACACUAACCCAGUAUGAUUUUUAUAUUUUAUCAUAUAAUCCCCUUAUGGUUUAAUACUUUACCAUAUAACCCCCUUAUGAUUUUCAAAAUAUAUGCAUAACCCCCCUUGGUUAAUAAAUAAUUUUAACUUUACAUAAGAGUAUUUUUGACAUUUUAGGUAACUCCGUUAGGAAUGAUCAUUCCGUCAUUUUGAUACUUUAAUCCAAACCACGAGGGGUUAUGUUUAACUUUUGAAAUCAUAGGGGGGUUAUGUAAAAAAAGGCUAAAUCACAGGGGGUAAAGUGAAAUUUGUCCUAAAUAUUUACAAAAUGGUGGCAAGAAGGGGAUCUAGGGUGGGUUACCAACAAUAUCAACUAUUUCUUUACGCCUUCCCUUGAUUUGGGAGUUGGCUUCGACCAAAGAAGCAAGCAAUCACUCAAAAAAAAAAGAAAAAAGGUAUUAGACUAAUGUCCACAAGGAGGAUCAAUUGGAGCAGAAGAAGUAAGCACAAGCAAGAAGGCCAAAAUAAUAAAGUCAACCAUCUCUUUACAGCUUACCAUGUUGGCAACCACCAUCUAAAAUCUAGAUACGUGUUUACUUCAUAGAACCAAGUUGCAUUCCCCAAGCUUUUGCAUUCACACUGAUAAGUGAAAAUGGUUCUGGAUUGUAAUUCAAAAGGGACUUCUUUUAGGAUUGCAACCUGAGAUGGAAUCAAUAUCAGAAUAGUUUAGGGGCCAGGACCACGCAGCAGGAGCAUAUCUCAAAGGCAAUUUUGGAGGGUCCGCAUAGUUCUCCAACUUCAGUUCUGGUCCUCCAAGAAGGCAUAAGCACAGUUAUUGGAUGCAACGCUCUGCAAAGCGUUACGCGCAAUUGAAAACUGAAUUGGCUGAGUAGCAAGGAAUGCUUGCUUGACAGCAAUUGAUGCGACAGCAACCGGUUAUGUUGUUGGUGCUACACAUUGAGGUGCAACCAGACAAGAUCUCUGGACUGCCAAGUCUCGGUCUGAAGGGAGCAUUUCCACAGCCAAGAAACAUCACUUGUUGCAUUCUCUGGAAACAAAGAAAGGAGAUUCGGCAAGGGAACCUUCUGCAAUGGCCGGAUCAAAUGAAUCACUCCAGCAAACUUGGAGCAAGGGUAAGUUUAUGGUUACUGUUUGAUCACUCAGGGACACUUCCAGCACCUCACAAAUUUCUUGGGAACCUUUUCCAGGUUAAAGCACCCCAGAUACGGCUUUGAAUUUGAACUGUUGAUGGAAUCGCCAGAGACAUUUGUACAGCUUAUGGUGAAUGCUUCAUUGAGAGCACAAUCUGGACCAAUUCCAAAUGGGUAGGGAAUUGUCACUCGUCCAUAGGUAUCAAUGCACCCUGGCUUCGCCAUUGGAAAUCGUGUGAUUGAACAAUGAGGUAAAGAAACACAAAUAACAUACAGAUUAAGCUCAAAUUGCUCAUACCAAAUUAUUUAUUUCUUAACUUCUGAAUAAAGUCUGAAAUGUUGCAAAUGCAGAGGGCCGUAGGAGCAUAGGGGAUUUUAUCGACUAUCAUAUUGAUGCAUUUAGAUGCAAAAGUCUGUGAGUCAAGUUAGAAACGUAGCCAUUAAAGCAAAGUAAAAGAAUGACACAAGCAAUCAUUUGAGGAAUUUCACUAAGCAGAAGAGCUGAACUGAAUUGGUUUAAGAGAAUGCAUUUCUUCAAUUGCUAGGAAGGUGGCAGGAUUUAGAAAACAAAGCCGUAGGUUUCAUUCUUAAAAGGAAGAAAAAAAGAGUCAGUCGUCACUUUUGCUAGUCGGCAGAAAAAAUUGAAGAGAGAGAAAAAAGUAAAGCAGCUAGAGAGAUAGAGAGAGUUCAAGGUCUUGAUUGGAGGAUGAUUCAAAAUCUCAUUGAGACGAAAUUUUAUGCACGCAAUCCUCUCAUCAAGUUCUACUCAUCUACCGGUUCAGAUUUCAGAUUUCCUUUUCGUUUGGUAACACCUUUCUAAACUCACUUCUUUGAUAGUUGUAAUUUUUGGGAGUGAUUUUGUAGUAAUUUCGCUUGCUUGAUAUUGGUAAUAUUAUUGUCAUCCGAAUAUUUCGAAUAAACCUAUGUAUUCCCAUUAUUGUGAUAGUGGAGAUUUUUUACUGGACUAGGUCUCGUGAUUUUUUUCAAUUUGAGUUUUUCACGUAAAAAUUUUUGGUGUCCUGUGCUUUUUAUUUUUCUGCAUUUUAGUACCACUGCUGGCAUUAUUCCUAUUUUAACUAGUAUUUGGAGAAAGAGUAAUUUAUUUUAGGUUAACUCUGAUAUUGUGUGCCUAGUACCCUUUCCCAACAUAAAGAAACACAAAUAACAUACAGAUUAACCUCAAAUUACUCAUACCAAAUUAUUUGUUUCUUAACUUCUGAAUAAAGUCUGAAAUGUUGCAAAUACAAAGGGCUGUAGGAGCAUAAGGGAUUUUGUCGACUAUCAUAGUGAUGCAUUCAGAUGCAAAAGCCAGUAUGAGUCAAGUUAGAAACGUAGCCAUUAAAGAAAGCAACGUAAAAGAACGACACAAGCAAUCAUUUGAGGAAUUGUCACUAAGCAGAAGAACUGAACUGAAUUGGUUUAAGAGAAUGCAUUUCUUCAAUUGCUAGGAAGGUGGCAGGAUUUACAUAUUUUUACGUGAAAUGUCUACGCCCAACUUGUCAACAUUCAAUAGUCCAGAACUCCAGACUGACUCGCUAAGCCAUUCUUGCCUGCAAAUUAUAACCUCAUGUCAAGUAAUUAAACAUGAUUUAUCCAUAUAUUAAAAAAAAUCUACCUCCAAUCAUCCUAUUAAUUCUCUGAGUUUUUUUUUUUUACAACCCCAUAUACGGGAAUAUACGGGGGAGGGAUAUCAGCCCUUAUUUUAUUAAAACAUAAGAUCUAUUAGGAAAUUAAAAAUUUGUUGCAGACUACCUCCAAUAGCUUCUCGAAAUAUAUGGACAAUAAAGGCUGCCAAGAGACCUAUUAAAUGCUUGACGCGUACUAAAACAAGACAUAUAGGCCGGCUUACUUGUGCAGGAGAAUUAAGUAGCUGAACCAAUGCUUGGGAAUCCACUUCCACUUGCACAUUUUAUUAAUUCUCUGAGUUGAAGUUUCUUAAAAUUGAGAAUGUAUGGCUACUUAAAGUCUUGAAUAUUAGCAUCUAUAAUUCCCAAGUGUCUGAGGUUAAACUUUCUGCAGAUUGAGAAACAGUAGAUGUUGAGUCUUCCUCCGAAUGAGGGCGUUUUGAAAGGUAUACAACAUCAGUUGUGGAUCUGUUUUAACUCUAGUCAUGGAAUGGACUAACGUAGUCCCCAUUUCGUUUUACAAUUUAAUUUACUUUCCACUUACUAGUAUUGUAAUUUGGAAACCAAACCCUUUAGCAGACUGAUUCACUUGUUUAUUUGGGAUUUAUCCCACUAAUAUCACACAAAGAAUUUAAAUUAGGAGUAAUACUCAUUCAAACGUAAUGGAUCUUCUGUCCAACUUUCCGUGUCACUCUUUGUCCUACUUUUUGUUAUAUUGUUAUUUCUUCUUUAUAAAUAUCAUAUUUUAGUUCUUUUUUGUUUCCUUAAAAUCCAAUAAUAAUUAAAUAGGUAUGGGGUCCAUAGUAUAGACAAUGAAUAUUGGAGUUUUAGUUUCUAUAUCACGUUAAACUUGAAAACAGAUGUUCAAAGGGAACCAAAUUACAAUUCUUGUAACAGUUUAAUAUGUUGUUUGUCAUAGCCUAAUGUAUUCAAAUUGGUUUCUUUUCAAUAUAAUUUUAGUAAAUUAAGCUAUCACGGAUAAUUGAGAUAUAGGGAAUUAGAAGUUUUGAUUUCAAAUUCCUGUCUCCGUUGCUACUUCUCAAUUUCUACCCUCCCCUACUAUUUUUUUAAAAAUAUCCCAAGCAAUUUGUAAAUGGGAAUAUUUGAGAGUUUGAGGUAGAAUUUUUUUUUUUUUUUUUUUACUAACUGAUUAAUCUUUUCUUUUAAUUGUUUAAUACUUGGUUCACGACCGUGUGCCAGCCCAUCUCUAUUGACUACGCGAAUAUAUUUCUAGUGCCAAGCCCACAAAUAUUUCUAGUACCCAGCCGACAAAAACGACUACUUUCCAAGCCUGUAGCUCUUCCGAAAAUAGCCCAGAGUCUUUGCUGGGUCUGGCGGACACAAAGGACAGACUGAAAUUUAAUGUAUUCAUAUGUUUAUACGCGUUUGGUAAUGAAAAAUUGAACAUCUGAAUUAAUUAUGUGCUACUGAAUUUUUUAGAUAAAAUUUACUUCAAAAAAUAAGUGAUAAGCUGUUCAUCUAUCACUGAAUGUGAUAUAUAUAUAUAUAUAUAUUCAAAUGUGUCAAAUGUAAUAUUUAACAAUUUAAUAACUUAACAGAUUUAAACUUCAAACUUCACAUUUCAAAUUUCAGAUUUCAGUUUUUUCAAAUGCACCCUUAAGUGUUUGAUAAAAACACACUACUAUUUUGCACAUUGUAAAUAUACAGCUUUCACUCUAUGUUAUCAUCUUUAUGCAGCUGAGCAUCAAAGAUUAGGACUGCCUCACACAACGUGUGAAGGCAACUUGACUAGUUUUAAAUUAACGGGUUAAUCUUGUAAAAUAGAGUAUUUCAUGGUACAACGUCUAUUGUUGUGUAACAUGCGUAAAACUUAAACAAAUUAGGUAGUGUCAAUUCGUCAACAAACAGUCAGGUCUUGCUCGAGGUUUUACACGACCUGUUACCAAAUAUUUAAGUGUUUUCAGAUUAGUUGAACAGGAAAUCGACCAAGCAGCCGGUCUGAGUCUCACUAAAAUACCGUCUGUUAAAAAUUGGUCAAAAAUCGGGAUUGAACAGAAACCGACAAACCGGUUGAAGCCCGAUUUUUUCCAUUUUCUUAUCCUGCCUUCACCGAUUGACAUAUGUAUUCCCACCUCAGGUGCAAUUUCAAAUACGGGACUCUCUUUUUUUUUUUUUUUUUCCUUCCUUUGAUCGUUAACUAGCUCUAAGAAGUAAAACUAGUCUGAAUUGAAGUUACAAACCUGGGAGAGAAAUUCCAUUAUCUUAAUUCCAUUCUCUAAGUUCUUGAAAGAUUUCAAAUCAAAUAGAAGUAAAAAAAAAAAAAAAAAAAAGAAAGGAUAGAAAAGGAUAAAAAAAAAAAACCACUUGUGGUUAAGUGAAUAUACAUAAAAACUUCUCAUGGUAUCAAAACAUGGCAUCCAACAACUCAUGAUUUGAACUAAACUAAAAAUGCGAUGGAAAUCAUCAAAACUAAUGUGGGUAGGCGAAGUAAGAAAAAUACCCUAAUAUAUAUAUGGGUAAAAUGCAAAAAAACCCCUGUGAUUAAAUCAACUUACAGAAAAGUUCCCUAUGGUUCUAAAAAUAUAUAUAAUAUUCAUCCCUUUCACACAUAAAACAAUUGUUCUGAUUUCGUUAAUAUCUGUAUAUGGGAUAACAUCAUAAUUACAAAAAACCCGCGAUUAUCCAUUGCAUACGUAAAGUACAACAUCCCUUUUGAUAGCCUUUUCGAUCUCGACAAUUUUUACUUUCACUUUUCACAAAUCUUGUAUUGGUAUCAUAGUAUUUAGUUCUGCUAUCCACUCGAGAGUUUGAGAAAGAUAUAAGCAACCAUUUUGCAAAAUUUUCCUUCACCUUAUAUAACGAAAAUGUAUUGAAAUCCUUAGUUUAAAUUCUUAAAAAAUACCCUCUGAGAUAAUAUUAUAAUAGCAAAAACCCAGAUUUAAAACUUUUACUAUACCCUAAAAGUAGUGUACAUAAGACUAUUGGUUGAUUUCUCUCAAGAAGUUUUACUCCCUUUUCAAUAUAUUUCCUAAAAGUUUCGGAUCAAAUCCAACGUAUAUGUUUUAAAUCUAUAGUGAGUUUUUCUAUAGGUUGGGUUAAUCACAGAGGGCUUUUCUAUAAGGUAGAAUAUGUAUAUCAAUUGAAAAUUAUUAUAAAAAACUAUUUUUCGAUAUCACUAGUUGCAAAACAAGCGCAUGUGCCACAAACACAUUAGUUUUAACAAUAUUUGUCGCCUUCUCAGUUUAUUUCAAUCUACGAGGUAUCGAAUUAUAUAUUUUAAAAUCAUAGGAGGGCUUUUCUAUGUUCAUUUAAUCAGAAGUGGUUUUUUUUUUUUUUUCACCUGAAAGAAAAUAAUGAAAACAAGAGAGAGUUUUAAUGUGUGUGUGAUAAAAGAAGAGAACAAAGCAAAAGAAACAACGGAGAAGAAACAAGGAAAAAUGAAAGAAGAAAAGUAACUGGCGGCUGAGUAAGGGACAAACAAGGAGGACACAUUAGGUUUGGCAUUUAUUAACUUUAAAUACCCUAAAACUUUGAGAUAAUUUUAUUUUGACCCUUUAUUAUUUUAAUAAAGCAUUAAAUUAAUCCAUUAUAUUUUUCAAAUUAUAUUGUUUACUUAUAACUUUUAAAAUUUUUUAAAUGGAGUUCUUUUGGACUAAAUCUAAAUUCAUCAAAUAUGUAUGUACAGUUGCAAACAACCAAUUUAAGAGGAAUUUUUUUUAUAUAUUAUUUAUAUUAUAUAUAAUUAAUAUAUAUUUAUGACGUGUUUAUGAUGUCAUCCAAUUUAACCUCCAACCUAACUGGUUCAUUCCAUUGAUCCUGAAACCUGAGUUCGACCGAGUUGUUACUUGUCAGAGUUUCAAAACACAUCCUUGCCUACUUUCAUCAUGCUUCAGAAUUAAUAUGUUGUGAUAUGGUCAACGAACUUUUCCUACUUUACUUGAUGAAGUUAUCAGUAAAAAGAUAGACGCUAAAGCUCUGUACAUUCUGCCACAAAAAAGGGGGAAGAAUUUGGGCCCCCGGCCCGGGGGAAGGGGGGGGGGGGUGGUGGGGAGAGGAGAAAAUAAUCACCGGAAGUUGUUUCUUGAACACCAAGUUCACAGUGCACACAAACAUUUUGUGGAAUUCUUGGGGACGACUGCCCUUUCCAGCCCUGUCAUUUUUCCGCCAGCGCUGAAUUAGAUUGUAUUGUUCAAUACCGCGCAGGCAUCUGAAGUUGACUUAACGUUCUCACUUCCAAUAGUCCAUGCGUCGUAAACAUCACUCAUCACAACAGCUUCUUCGUUGGUGCAACUUGGACUUUGAUAAUUUUCUUGAAUAGUUAACCCCCAUCUGCACAUUUUGAUGUUUUCCAACUCGAUGGAAACUUCCUUCAUAGUUGGUCUCCUCCUUCCAUCCCAGUCUAUGCAUCGUUGUGCAAGUUUAGCAACAGCAAUUACCUCCCUUUCAUUUGUUUGAUCCAUAAUUUGAGGAUCAAGAAUCGUUGGAAGAGAAUUCUCUUCCAUGGAUGUCAGAAACCUUUGUGCCAACCCUAAAUAGACAUCUUCUCCUUCUUCUCUGGAAGGUAUGGGCUUUUGUCUUGUCAGGAGCUCAAGAAGAACCGCCCCAAAGCUGUAAACGUCACUUUUGUCAGAAAUUUGGCUCGACAGGAAAUAUUCUGGAUCGAUGUAGCCGAAAGUCCCUUGGACUCGAGUAGUCAUGUGGGUUUUGUCAAUUGCAAUGGACAAUGAAGCUCCAAAGUCUGAUACUUUAGCUAUGUAUUUUUCAUCCAACAAUAUGUUGGUGGACUUGAUAUCCCUGUGAAAGACUGGAAUUGUAAGCCCCGAGUGUAGGUAUGCCAAUGCUCCUGCUACCUCUGUGGCUACUUUUAAUCUCAAGCUCCAAGUAAAAGGAAAGGAUUCAGCCUCAUUGUCGUUUUGAAUGAGGUUAAAUAGGGUUCCAUUAGGGAUAAAUUCAUAGACAAGCAGAGGAACUUCU